This 67-nucleotide non-coding RNA is filed under the name unclassified sequences. RNAcentral describes it as "Cyano-1 RNA". It matches the Rfam family "Cyano-1 RNA". RNAcentral also lists the same sequence under 1 other name. The record is from RNAcentral.
AUAGAUGUGAGGAGUUGGGAUCCUCCAGCAGUGGAAACAAGGAAACACUCGCUUAAAGAUCCACUAA